Molecule: ribosomal RNA, 404 nt
Filed under: uncultured bacterium
Lineage: Bacteria
Description: bacterial SSU rRNA
Rfam family: Bacterial small subunit ribosomal RNA
Source: RNAcentral
UGAGGGAUUUUCCACAAUGGACGAAAGUCUGAUGGAGCAAUGCCGCGUGAAGGAUGAAGGUCUUCGGAUUGUAAACUUCUUUUAUGAGGAAAGAUUAUGACGGUACCUCAUGAAUAAGACGCUGCUAACUACGUGCCAGCAGCAGCGGUAAUACGUAGGCGUCAAGCGUUAUCCGGAUUUAUUGGGCGUAAAGGGUCCGUAGGCGGACUGACAAGUCUGAUAUCAAAGAUCUCGGCUUAACCGAGGGAAGGUGUUGGAAACUGUUAGUCUAGAGGCCGGUAGAGGUUACUGGAACUUAUCGAGUAGGGGUAAUAUCCGUUGAUACGAUAAGGAACACCAAAGGCGAAGGCAGGUAACUGGGCCGGCCCUGACGCUCAGGGACGAAAGCGUGGGGAGCGAACGGG